AAAGGCAGAGGAAAUACCAAGAUCAGAAAGGUGGUUUUCCAAGGGUAAGACUUAUCCAUUGCACUCCAGAUGCGCUAACCCCUGAAAUUUCCCCAAAUGUGGGAAACUCGACUGCAUAAUUUGUGAUAAUGGGGGGCUGCAUUUAUGCUCUCCCCUA
RNAcentral lists this small nuclear RNA (157 nucleotides) under Castor canadensis (American beaver). RNAcentral's name for it is "U1 spliceosomal RNA (ENSCCNG00000010760.1)". It matches the Rfam family "U1 spliceosomal RNA". Rfam says of the family: U1 is a small nuclear RNA (snRNA) component of the spliceosome (involved in pre-mRNA splicing). Its 5' end forms complementary base pairs with the 5' splice junction, thus defining the 5' donor site of an intron. Lineage: Eukaryota; Metazoa; Chordata; Mammalia; Rodentia; Castoridae. The record is from Rfam by way of RNAcentral.